GACGAACGCUGGCGGCGUGCUUAACACAUGCAAGUCGAACGGAAAGGCCUCUUUCGGGGGGUACUCGAGUGGCGAACGGGUGGGUAACACGUGAGUAACCUGCCCUUGACUUUGGGAUAACUUCAGGAAACUGGGGCUAAUACCGGAUAGGAGCUCCUGCUGCAUGGUGGGGGUUGGAAAGUUUCGGCGGUUGGGGAUGGACUCGCGGCUUAUCAGCUUGUUGGUGGGGUAGUGGCUUACCAAGGCUUUGACGGGUAGCCGGCCUGAGAGGGUGACCGGCCACAUUGGGACUGAGAUACGGCCCAGACUCCUACGGGAGGCAGCAGUGGGGAAUAUUGCACAAUGGGUGGAAGCCUGAUGCAGCAACGCCGUGUGCGGGAUGACGGCCUUCGGGUUGGAAACCGCUUUCGCUCAUGACGAAGCUUUGUGUGACGGUAGUGGGUAAAGAAGCACCGGCUAACUACGUG
RNAcentral lists this ribosomal RNA (467 nucleotides) under uncultured bacterium. Its description in RNAcentral is "partial 16S ribosomal RNA". It matches the Rfam family "Bacterial small subunit ribosomal RNA", at positions 28 to 507 of the family's 1533-position model. The record is from RNAcentral.